Non-coding RNA from Camellia sinensis, 2808 nucleotides. NCBI's taxonomy places the organism in Eukaryota, Viridiplantae, Streptophyta, Magnoliopsida, Ericales, Theaceae. The record is from RefSeq and is a predicted model, not a curated record.
CUUCUUAUACGCCUCUGUCUCUCUAUCACGUCCUCCCCUCUCUCUCUUUCUCUCUCUCUUUCUCUCUCCACCGCCGUCGGUACAGGAGCACACGACCACCACUGCCAUUGAUAUCACCGUCACAAACUAGCAGCACCUGAUGGCAGCACUCGCAGUUACGGAAAACAUUAGAUGCAAAUCUGGAAUAUAAAAAUUAACGACAUCUCUCACCUUUACGCGAUCGUUCGUUCGUUCGUUUGUGUCAAGUGUUUUCGUGACAGAGAAUGAGGAAGAAAGUAACUCCCGAAGCAUAGAGAGAGAAUCUAGAGAGAGUAAAUUAGGGCUGAGGAGGGAAAAAAGUUACAGAGGGUUUUCUCGUUGUUUUUUGGUUUCUCUCAAAGGUUAAAGCCUCUGCAACACUUUCUAUGUGUUUCUAAACCCCAUCAUUACCUUCAUUUUCAGAGAGAAAAUCCCAAGGAAAAAUGAGGAAGAUAUAUAGAGAGAGUCGUCUCUGGUGCGAGUUUAUCGAUUGUGGUGGCACAAAUUGGAUCUUGUAGGUUAUUCACAUUGUCGGUAUAUUGGAAAGAGUCAAUGGGUUCACCUACAUUGCGAUUUUGAAGGAAAUUUAGGGUUUGAUUGCUCUCAAUCUAAUUGAUUUGUGAGAAAAUGUUAUGGAAAACAUCAGCGGCAAUUGAAGGGGUUUGACAUUGAGAUCGGUGGCCAAAUUUAGAGGCUAGAAUCGACAGAUGCAGCAAUUAAGAUGCGUAAACUCAAAAACAAAAACAAAAAGGGUUUUCUUGACAACUCCAUUCAAUUCAUCUGAAAUUCUUGUUUUCUCCGAAAUGGGGUUGUGGGAUUCCCUCAUCAAUUGGCUCAGCAGGUAAUUUACUCCCUUCUCUUCUAAUCUUCCAUAUUUUUUUUUGUUAUUCUUCAGAUUGUGUUUCUUUUAUUUUCUUGGAAAUGUUGUUCAUGGUUUAUUGGGUACAACCUAGUCUCACAUUUGUCACAAAAUUGAAGUUUUUAAGCUCAAGAACAACCUAUUAGUGUUGAAAGAAGAAAUUAUAGUUCCUUUUGUAUCUGUUUGGUUUAUGGGAAACGACAUGGAAAUAAAAGGCAAGAUUUUGGAUUGUUUUGCUCCUUGAAAAUGUAUAACAAAAACUAACCCAAUUAAGAACUAUACAAUUUGGAUUGAAUAACAUUGGAAUUAACUGGAUUAUGUUUCCUGUUGUUUCUCAUUAAUAACAAGCUGGUAUGUUGACACUCUAUACUCUUGCACACAACUUUUCGAUGACACCUCUCUCUAUCAUGUAUCAUUUAUGGACUGUAAUAUUGAUUUGUAUUGAGUACACAAAAAGUAGAUUACAGAGAUAGUAAACUUCUAUUUAAAAUAGUUAUCAUAGUUUUCAUUACUCAGAAUUUUGACACCUAAUAAGAAAAGGGAGAAGGAUAGUGUGUGUAUCACUUACAAGAUGCAUAUAACAUGUCUUUUUGUAAUAACGUCCUAAAAUUUUAUAACAUGAACAACAAAAUGAAAAAGUUGUAUAUAACAUGUCUUUUUGUAAUAACGUCCUAUAUAUUCUACUUUUUCAAACAUUGUGUCCCCUUUUCUUAAUUAUUACAUCGUGAAAAAGUUGUGUUUUUUUUCCCCUUAUAACUUGUAUUUUUAACUUUUCAGCUCUCUCCGAUUCUGAUUCACUGUUCCACUCUUUUAUAUAGAUAGUAGUAAGUAUGAAAUGCAUUUACAACCCAAUAUAUUCUAUUUGUAAUUUGUCAAAGUAAGUUUUCUUUCUUGGUGAUCUGAUUAUCCUUUUCUAGUAUUUAAGAAUCUCUAAUGUGCCUAUCCUGUCCAAGAAUUUAAGAAAUUCUACUUUCAUAAACAUUAUUUGGUUAUGUACUUCAUAUGGUUUCCUAUUUGUCAUGAUACAUAUAAACCUUUACAUGACGCAUUGUCAAGAUGUGGCGUGAUAGUAACAGAGAGAAAGAAAACUGAGUUUAAAGGAAGGGAUUUGGUGCAGGAUCUUGGUAGGCUUGUCAAAGGUUCUAUAGAACUGGUUAGAGAUUUUGUAUCUGGGUUUGAAUUUGCACCUGGGGUUUUGGGUUCAUUGCUAUCUUAUGUAGAACUACUUGCUGAGGAAAGCAAUUAUGGAAGUCAUAGGAUUUGAAAGUAAAAUCUUCACAGCUACAUGAGGUUAGAUUCUGCUGCCAUGAAGGCUCUAACUGUUAUGGACAGCAAAACUGAUGCAAACAAAAAUUUUAGUUUCUUUGGACUCAUGAAUAGAACCUGUACUGCUGGGAUGAGUAAAAGAUUACUGCACAUGUGGAUAAAACAAACUUUGUUAGAUGUGAAUGAAAUCAACCCCAUGAUGCUGGGGUGGAUCUAUAAGAAUUCACCUAUCCCAGGAUGCUGGCAGAUAAUAUUACUUGUGUUUGCACCUUGUAACAUAGUAUUUAUAAAUAAUUAUGAAGAAUUACAAAAUGGGAAAACACUAAUUUCAUAUACCUUAACUAAUAAAAAGCACUAGAUGUUUUGUAAAGAAAUAUGAAUGAAUACAUGUAACUACUACUGUAAUUGUGUACAGUAUAACUAAUAGAGCUAUGACUUUCUCUGUAGCAUGCAACUAGCCCCAUAAACUAUAUUUGUGUAACAUCUUUUGGAGAAUAUUAGCAAUCACUAGUGUAAUACGUUUUUAUGCCUUUCAAAUUCCACAAUUCUUAUAAUUGACUAACUGCAGAGGAAAACUCCAUUCUUAAGAAAGAGAUUUUGGUGAUAUAUCUACUCACUUAUGAGUUAUCUGUAUUUAUUCCUUGUCUAGGACAGCCCACUAGAAC